Molecule: transfer RNA, 74 nt
Filed under: Pseudomonadota bacterium
Lineage: Bacteria; Pseudomonadati; Pseudomonadota
Description: Proteobacteria bacterium tRNA-Ile
Rfam family: tRNA
About the family: Transfer RNA (tRNA) molecules are approximately 80 nucleotides in length. Their secondary structure includes four short double-helical elements and three loops (D, anti-codon, and T loops).
Source: RNAcentral
GGGCUCAUAGCUCAGUUGGUUAGAGCGCUACACUGAUAAUGUAGAGGUCCCUAGUUCGAAUCUAGGUGGGCCCA